This 1125-nucleotide long non-coding RNA is filed under the name Pogona vitticeps (central bearded dragon). RNAcentral's name for it is "lncRNA (ENSPVIG00000001086.1)". The record is from RNAcentral. Lineage: Eukaryota; Metazoa; Chordata; Lepidosauria; Squamata; Agamidae.
AUGGAGACAGUCGGGCAGCAUGUUCUAGACGAGAGGGCAAUGAUUGAUGGAUCUGCCUUUAUUGGAUUAGAAGAAACCAAAGUGGUAAAGAAUAUGAAGAUUUUUGAUUGGAGUCCUGAAAAAGAUCGGACAGAAAAUGUGGUGGAAAAAGUGAGAGGCACUUUUGAGGCUGAAUUUGAAGACCUGGACUCUGAUAAUAAAGCCUGGGAAUUAGAUGUUAGAGCCACACCAACAGAUACAACAGCUGCACCCCAGUAUGAGGAAGAGAACUGGGAUAAAGAGCUGGCAGAGAGUGAAAAUGAUCAUCCUUAUGAUUUUGAAGAUGCAAUCCACAUUGCAAGUUUCUUGGAUCAAGAUCCAGCAACAUCAUGUUCCACUCAAGAAAGACCUUUGUAUGACCCAAGUUUUCACCAUGCGGCAUCACUGACUUUGAACCUGACACAGGUCACACCAGUGGAUGGCCAGUUUGAUGACGCUGUUGACUGAUGCAUGCUCAGCCUUGGGGCAGAUGCGUCACUUCUAAACAGAAUCCUUCACGAAGCUGAGCUGAAAAACAAGAGGAACCCUUUUGUGCUCUGAAGGUUUGAAUCUUGUCAAAGACCAGAGCAACACAAGAUUAAGGAUAUAACUGAGUAACAAUUAUGGAGCAAAAUUUUGCUUUAAAUAAUCACAUAAAUGGUUUUGGUUUAUUAUUUUAAAGUUGCUGGUGUGGUUGCUGCUGUUGUUAAAUUGCUCAUUUUUUUCUUUCCUGUCACCUGUACAGUAUUAUUUUAUUUGACGUGCUUGACUAAGCUGAGGUGUCAGUAUGUAUUAUUUCCAUAUUAUAAACUCAGUAUUGUGUUUGCUGUAACUUAUUUUUUUGAUAUAAAAGAGCACCAGUGUGCAGGAGGCAAUUACUUUGACAGGAUAAUUUCUGAAAAAUACAGGUUAUUUGGUUUUGUACACUGUGUACACAAGUGCGUUAUUUAACAUAGAAAUUGGAAGAAGUGCUGAUUUACCAUAUUGCCUAACACCUGAAUGUCCACUUUUCACUGAUUUAUUUAUACAUACAGUAUUGGAGACCUUAUCACCAAUGCUUUCCAGAGGCAGUUAUUGAUUGUCACCCUUAUAUCUCUUAGCAAUGAU